RNAcentral lists this ribosomal RNA (529 nucleotides) under uncultured bacterium. Its description in RNAcentral is "bacterial SSU rRNA". It matches the Rfam family "Bacterial small subunit ribosomal RNA", at positions 777 to 1304 of the family's 1533-position model. The record is from RNAcentral.
AAUAGAUACCCGGUAGUCCACGCCGUAAACGAUGAAUGCUAGGUGUUAGGGGUUUCGAUACCCUUGGUGCCGAAGUCAACACAUUAAGCAUUCCGCCUGGGGAGUACGGUCGCAAGACUGAAACUCAAAGGAAUUGACGGGGACCCGCACAAGCAGUGGAGUAUGUGGUUUAAUUCGAAGCAACGCGAAGAACCUUACCAGGUCUUGACAUCCCUCUGAAUAUCCUAGAGAUAGGGUAGGCCUUCGGGACAGAGGAGACAGGUGGUGCAUGGUUGUCGUCAGCUCGUGUCGUGAGAUGUUGGGUUAAGUCCCGCAACGAGCGCAACCCUUGAUCUUAGUUACCAGCAGGUAAGGCUGGGCACUCUAAGAUGACUGCCGGUGACAAACCGGAGGAAGGUGGGGAUGACGUCAAAUCAUCAUGCCCCUUAUGACCUGGGCUACACACGUACUACAAUGGCCGGUACAACGGGAAGCGAAGCCGCGAGGUGGAGCAAAUCCAAUAAAAGCCGGUCUCAGUUCGGAUUGCAGG